RNAcentral lists this ribosomal RNA (401 nucleotides) under uncultured bacterium. RNAcentral's name for it is "bacterial SSU rRNA". It matches the Rfam family "Bacterial small subunit ribosomal RNA", at positions 975 to 1375 of the family's 1533-position model. The record is from RNAcentral.
CAGCCCUUGACAUGCCACGACGGUUUCCAGAGAUGGAUUCCUCCCCGCAAGGGGCGUGGACACAGGUGCUGCAUGGCUGUCGUCAGCUCGUGUCGUGAGAUGUUGGGUUAAGUCCCGCGACGAGCGCAACCCUCGCCCUUAGUUGCCAUCAUUCAGUUGGGCACUCUAAGGGGACUGCCGGUGAUAAGCCGCGAGGAAGGUGGGGAUGACGUCAAGUCCUCAUGGCCCUUACGGGCUGGGCUACACACGUGCUACAAUGGCGGUGACAGUGGGAUGCAAUGGAGCAAUCCUGCGCAAAUCUCAAAAAGCCGUCUCAGUUCGGAUUGUGCUCUGCAACUCGAGUACAUGAAGUUGGAAUCGCUAGUAAUCGCAGAUCAGCACGCUGCGGUGAAUACGUUCCC